GGCCCGCUGCCAGGAGUGGUCCCUGCUUUUCCUGGAUUCCCAAGCCUUUCGGGGAAAGCAGGAGUUCUAGCAGGGACCUGAGGACAUAGGCCGGGCCUUAGGACACAGCCAGCGAGCUAGUGCUGUUUCUGAAGUCUCGCCCUCAUCCAUGGCCUUGCGGGGAACAACCUGCUGGCCCUCACACUGAAAGACACGGUAAACAGCACCCAGGAGGGAUGUGGAGAGGGCAGGUUUCCUAAGCGCCUACUCCACCUGGUAUGUGCAGCUGACUUCUGACCGCCCGACCCGCCUCUCCACCAGAGUAUGUGGUCCUCGGAGAAGAAGGCGUUGUGGGUAAAUUCUAGCUGUAGAGAGAGACGGCGGUUUAAAUCUGCCUCUUCCCACUUGGGGAGCAGUACAUGUCGUCUUCUCCCUCUGGGCCCUGGUGGUGCCCUUAUCGGUAAAGCGGGUGAAGUUGGAUGAUGCUGCAUAAUGCCGCCUGUCUCACCGUGUGGCAGAGACUUCUGGAUGGCGGGUCACACACAUGUCUUCUGGGAAGUGUUCUUCAGCCCUGCGCCCCAGGUAUUCCCCGACUGGAAAGCCGCACGCUGCUCUGGAGAGUGAGGUCCACAUUCCCCGAGCUGCUGAUGGCCGCAGUGAGGCCUGAACUCUACAUUAAGGCCUCGGGGUGGGGAGGGGGAGGACACUUGCUGCUGAAGUUCCUCGUUCCCCUGGCUUUGCUCCAGCCCCAAGGCUUUCAAAGGUGCC
Molecule: non-coding RNA, 747 nt
Organism: Peromyscus maniculatus bairdii (prairie deer mouse)
Lineage: Eukaryota; Metazoa; Chordata; Mammalia; Rodentia; Cricetidae
Source: RefSeq, a predicted model, not a curated record